RNAcentral lists this ribosomal RNA (450 nucleotides) under uncultured bacterium. Its description in RNAcentral is "bacterial SSU rRNA". It matches the Rfam family "Bacterial small subunit ribosomal RNA", at positions 354 to 796 of the family's 1533-position model. The record is from RNAcentral.
GUGGGGAAUAUUGGACAAUGGGCGAAAGCCUGAUCCAGCCAUGCCGCGUGUGUGAAGAAGGUCUUCGGAUUGUAAAGCACUUUAAGUUGGGAGGAAGGGCAGUAAGUUAAUACCUUGCUGUUUUGACGUUACCGACAGAAUAAGCACCGGCUAACUUCGUGCCAGCAGCCGCGGUAAUACGAAGGGUGCAAGCGUUAAUCGGAAUUACUGGGCGUAAAGCGGGCGUAGGUGGUUUUGUAAGUUGGAGGUGAAAUCCCCGGGCUCAACCUGGGAACUGCCUCCAAAACUGCAUGACUAGAGUACGGUAGAGGGUAGUGGAAUUUCCUGUGUAGCGGUGAAAUGCGUAGAUAUAGGAAGGAACACCAGUGGCGAAGGCGACUACCUGGACUGAUACUGACACUGAGGUGCGAAAGCGUGGGGAGCAAACAGGAUUAGAAACCCGUGUAGUCC